This is a long non-coding RNA of Hirundo rustica (Barn swallow), 580 nucleotides long. RefSeq lists it as uncharacterized. The transcript is spliced from 3 exons. The record is from RefSeq and is a predicted model, not a curated record. Lineage: Eukaryota; Metazoa; Chordata; Aves; Passeriformes; Hirundinidae.
AUUGACUAGAAGGAUAGCUGGGUUUAUUGAAAGUUUGCUCCAAAUGGACUGGAAUGCUGCAAACUUCAGCGGAGCGUCAGGCAGGCAGCGGGAGCUUACUGAACUGGAGCCUAAAAUGUAAUCCCUGCCAGGUUUCAAAUUUCACAGUAUACAACCACAGUUUUCAAACACUGUCAAAUGUUUGAUGAAAUCUUCCACAGCUGUUUAUUUGCCCUCUUUCCUUCCCUCCUUUUGGCCUCUUGACUGUGUGUGGUGUGUUUGAAGGCUGCAGGGAAGUGAAGAUACCCAUGGCUGGGUUUCAGUGGUGGGAGGAGGUGAGGAAUUCUGGUGCUUGCCUGUGGAAUAGAAACCAUCCUGCGUUUACCCGGCACCUCUCAUCUGAAUGAGACAGUAGCUUACACGGAUUAAGCUCUUUCUUCUUUCUGCAUGGCGGGCAGGGAAAACUGUAUUAUCCCCACUUAAAGAUAUGUAAAAGAACUAAUUUCUUCUAGAGAUUGUGACUUUGGCAUGUCAUUUGCUGUGAGAGGCAGCAGGGAUGGUGCUGAAACUGUAAUCUGCUCUUUCCCUACCUUGGCUGCUG